GAUGAACGCUGGCGGCGUGCCUAAUACAUGCAAGUCGAGCGAAUGGAUUAAGAGCUUGCUCUUAUGAAGUUAGCGGCGGACGGGUGAGUAACACGUGGGUAACCUGCCCAUAAGACUGGGAUAACUCCGGGAAACCGGGGCUAAUACCGGCUAACAUUUUGAACCGACUGGUUCGAAAUUGAAAGGCCGCUUCGGCUGUCACUGCUGGCUGGACCCGGGGCGCAUUAGCUAGUUGGUGAGGUAACGGCUAACAAAGGCAACGAUGCGUAGCCGACCUGAGAGGGUGAUCGGCCACACUGGGACUGAGACACGGCCCAGACUCCUACGGGAGGCAGCAGUAGGGAAUCUUCCGCAAUGGACGAAAGUCUGACGGAGCAACGCCGCGUGAGUGAUGAAGGCUUUCGGGUCGUAAAACUCUGUUGUUAGGGAAGAACAAGUGCUAGUUGAAUAAGCUGGCACCUUGACGGUACCUAACCAGAAAGCCACGGCUAACUACGUGCCAGCAGCCGCGGUAA
This 515-nucleotide ribosomal RNA is filed under the name uncultured bacterium. RNAcentral's name for it is "partial 16S ribosomal RNA". It matches the Rfam family "Bacterial small subunit ribosomal RNA", at positions 28 to 523 of the family's 1533-position model. The record is from RNAcentral.